UCCAGGAAUCAUAUGAAUGUCUCAAAAAAUAAGCCAUGCAUGUUUAAGUUCCAAACUCCCUAAAGUGGAACCGCGAACUGCCCCUUAAAUCACACCUAAUUUUCUGGAUAGUUUACAGUUACUUGGAUAAAUGCGGUAAUUUUGGAGCUAAUUCAUGCAACCAGCCUCGAACUUACGUGAGAGGCGAUUUUAUUAGAUCAAAACCCAACGUUUUUGGACGUAUUUUUGGUGACUUUGGAUAACUUUGAGCUGAUCGCAUUAGCCUUGCGCUGGCGACAUAUCCUUUGAAGGUGUGCCCUAUCAACUGUUGACUGUGGCAUAGACGCCCCCCGUGGUUUUGACGGGUAACGGGGAAUCAGGGUUCGAUUCCGGAGAGGGAGCCUUAAAAACGGCUUCCACAUUUAAGGAAGGCAGCAGGCACGCAAAAUACCCAAUGACCGCAGGUCGAGGUAGUGACGAAAAAUAACGAUACGGGACUCAUCCGAGGCCCCGUAAUCGGAAAGAGGACACUUUAAAACCGUCCCCGAGGAUUUAUU
RNAcentral lists this ribosomal RNA (536 nucleotides) under uncultured eukaryote. RNAcentral describes it as "bacterial SSU rRNA". It matches the Rfam family "Eukaryotic small subunit ribosomal RNA", at positions 16 to 549 of the family's 1831-position model. The record is from RNAcentral.